RNAcentral lists this ribosomal RNA (454 nucleotides) under uncultured bacterium. RNAcentral describes it as "bacterial SSU rRNA". It matches the Rfam family "Bacterial small subunit ribosomal RNA", at positions 50 to 539 of the family's 1533-position model. The record is from RNAcentral.
AACACAGCAAGUCGAACGCGCACGGAGCAAUCCGUGUGAGUGGCGGACGGGUGAUUAACACGUGGGUACCUACCCCAAGGUGAGGAAUACCGGCGAGAAAUCGCCGACAAUACCGCAUACGUUUCCAAAGAAACAAAGCUCGCAACAGCGCCAUGGGAAGGGCCUGCGGCCGAUUAGCUGGUUGGUGAGGUAACAGCUCACCAAGGCGACGAUCGGUAGCUGGUCUGAGAGGAUGAUCAGCCACACUGGGAUUGAGAACGGCCCAAACUCCUACGGGGGGCAGCAGUGAGGAAUUUUCGUCAAUGGGGGCAACCCUGAACGAGCAACGCCGCGCGCAUGAAGAAGGUUUUCGGAUCGUAAACUGCUUUUCUCUGGGACGAGAACGGACGGUACCAGAGGAAUCAGCCCCGGCUAACUACGUGCCAGCAGCCGCGGUAAUACGUAGGGGGCAAGC